AUGGGACAUGUGCUAGAAUUCAACAAUUCUGAGUUAACAGAGUUUCCAAAGUCCCUCUGCUCCAAGCGUGAGAAGGAAAACCAAAGUAGCAUGUCUGAAUUCCUUCUCCUGGGGCUCCCCAUCCUGCCAGAGCUGCAGGGCAUGUUCUUCAGCCUCUUCCUGGUCAUGUACCUGACCACAGUGCUGGGGAACCUGCUCAUCAUCCUACUUGUCAGGCUGGACUCUCACUUCCACACUUCCGUGUACUUCUUCCUCAGCUACUUGGCAUUCACCGAUGUCUCUGUCUCAUCUGUCACUGUCCCAAAGAUGCUGAUGGACAUGCACACUAAAUACAAAUCCAUCCCCUAUGCAGGGUGCAUUUCACAGAUAUAUUUUUUCCAUAUUUUUUACUGACCUGGACAGCUUCUUUAUUGUCAAUGACAUAUGACCGCUAGGUUGCCAUAUGUCACCCUCUUCACUAUACCACUAUCAUGAGGGAAGAGCUGUGUGCCUUACUAGUGGCUAUAUCCUGUCCUGUGCCAGCUCCCUUUCCCACACCCUUCUCCUGACCCAGCUCAUGAGGAGGGAGAACCAGAGCUGCAUAUCUGAAUUCUUCCUCCUGGGGCUCCCCAUCCUGCCAGAGCAGCAGGGCAUCUUCUUUGUCCUGUUCCUGGGCAUGUACCUGACUACGGUGCUGGGGAACCUGCUCAUCAUCUUACUCAUCAGUCUGGACUCUCGCCUCCACACACCCAUGUACUUCUUCCUCAGCCACUUGGCUGUCACUGACAUCUCCUUUUCAUCUGUCACCGUCCCAAAGAUGUUAAUGAGCUUCCAAACUCAGGAUAGAUCCAUCCCCUAUGCAGAGUGCAUAGCACAGAUGUAUUUUUUCAUAUUUUUUACUGAUAUGGACAAUUUCCUUCUCACCUCAAUGGCAUAUGAUCGGUACAUGGCCAUAUGUCACCCCCUUCACUACCCCACUAUUAUGAAAGAGGAGCUGUGUAUGUUACUAGUAGCUGUAUCCUGGAUCCUCUCCUGUGUAAAUGCCCUGUCUCACACCCUCCUCCUGGCCCAAAUGUCCUUUUGUGCUGACAACACCAUCCCCCAUUUCUUCUGUGACCUUGGAGCCCUGCUCAAGCUCUCCUGCUCAGACACCUCCCUCAAUGAGCUGGUCAUUUUCACAGCAGGAGUGGCAGUCAUUACUCUCCCACUAAUAUGUAUCUUGACCUCUUAUGGCCGCAUUGGGGUCACCAUCCUAAAGGUUCCAUCUACCAAAGGGAUCUGCAAAGCCUUGUCCACAUGUGGCUCCCACCACUCUGUGGUAUCUUUGUAUUAUGGGACAAUUAUUGGGCUGUAUUUUUUCCCCUCAUCCAGAAUCUCCAAUGACAAGGAUGUAAUUGCCUCUGUGAUGUACACAGUGGUCACUCCAUUGCUGAACCCUUUCAUUUAUAGCCUGAGGAACAGGGACAUGAAGGGGGCCCUGGAGAAACUCUUCACUAGGGCAACAGUCUUGUCUCAAUGA
Ceratotherium simum simum (southern white rhinoceros) is the source of this 1498-nucleotide non-coding RNA. The record is from RefSeq and is a predicted model, not a curated record. Lineage: Eukaryota; Metazoa; Chordata; Mammalia; Perissodactyla; Rhinocerotidae.